AAGUCGUAACAAGGUUUCCGUAGGUGAACCUGCGGAAGGAUCAUUCAUAAUAAGUGUUUUAUGGCACUUUUUAAAUCCAUAUCCACCUUGUGUGCAAUGUCAGUCGAUCUUCUUCAUGGAGAUCGACCAAACAUCAACCUUUAUUUUUUAACUCUUUGUCUGAAAAAUAUUAUGAAUAAACAAUUCAAAAUACAACUUUCAACAACGGAUCUCUUGGCUCUCGCAUCGAUGAAGAACGCAGCGAAAUGCGAUACGUAAUGUGAAUUGCAGAAUUCAGUGAAUCAUCGAAUCUUUGAACGCAUAUUGCGCUCUUUGGUAUUCCGAAGAGCAUGCUUGUUUGAGUAUCAGUAAACACCUCAAAGCUUUUGGAUUUUUUAAUCGAAAAGCUUUGGACUUGAGCAAUCCCAACACCAAUCUUUUUGAGAUCGGUGGCGGGUUGCUUGAAAUGCAGGUGCAGCUGGACAUUCUCCUGAGCUAAAAGCAUAUUCAUUUAGUCCCGUCAAACGGAUUAUUACUUUUGCUGCAGCUAACAUAAAGGGAGUUUGACCGUAUUGGCUGACUGAUGCAGGAUUUCACAAGGGUCGGCAACGAUUCUUGUUAAACUCGAUCUCAAACCAAGUAAGACUACCCGCUGAACUUAA
This 641-nucleotide ribosomal RNA is filed under the name uncultured fungus. RNAcentral describes it as "eukaryotic LSU rRNA". The stretch from base 194 to 347 matches the Rfam family "5.8S ribosomal RNA". Lineage: Eukaryota; Fungi. The record is from RNAcentral.